GUGGGGGCUGCUAUAGGGCACAGUGGCUAUGGGGCAGAGCUGCUAUGGGGUCAGGUUGCUAUGGGGUGGGGGCUGCUAUGGGGCAGAGUGGCUAUGGGGCAGAGCUGCUAUGGGGUUGGGGCUUCUAUAGGGUGGAGUGGCUAUAGGGUCAGGUUGCUAUGGGGUCAGGUUGCUAUGGGGUUGGGGCUGCUAUAGGGCAGAGUGGCUAUAGGGUCAGGCUGCUAUGGGGUUGGGGCUGCUAUGGGGUCGGGCUGCUAUGGGGUGGGGGCUGCUAUAGGGCAGAGCUGCUAUGGGGUAGAGCUCUUAUGGGGUCAGGCUGCUAUGGGGUCAGGUUGCUAUGGGGUUGGGGGCUGCUAUAGGGCACAGUGGCUAUGGGGCAGAGCUGCUAUGGGGUUGGGUCUGCUAUGGGGUGGGGGCUGCUAUAGGGCAGAGCUGCUAUGGGGUAGAGUGGCUAUGGGGCAGAGCUGCUAUGGGGUCGGGUUGCUAUGGGGUGAGGGAUGCUAUGGGGUAGAAUGAUUAUGGGGUCAGGUUGCUAUGGGGUGGGGGCUGCUAUAGGGCACAGUGGCUAUNGCUAUGGGGUAGAAUGAUUAUGGGGUCAGGUUGCUAUGGGGUGGGGGCUGCUAUAGGGCACAGUGGCUAUAGGGUCAGGCUGCGAUGGGGUUGGGGCUGCUAUAGGGCAGAGCUGUUAUGGGGUAGAGUGGUUAUGGGGCAGAGCUGCUAUGGGGUUGGGGUUGCUAUAGGGCAGAGUGGCUAUAGGGUCAGGUUGCUAUGGGGUUGGGGCUGCUAUGGGGUGGGGGCUGCUAUGGGGUAGAGUUACUAUGGAGAACGGUUGUUAUGGGGUGGGAGAAGCUAUGGGGCGGGGGCUGCUAUGGGGCAGUGAUGUGGCACUGAGGUCGGGUUAUGGGGUUGGGUUGGUGUGUGGGGUUGGGAUUAGGAUUGGGAUUAGGAUUGGGAUUGGGGUCAGGAUUAGGGUCAGGAUUGGGAUUGGGAUUAGGAUUGGGAUUGGGGUCAGGAUUAGGAAUGGGAUUGGGAUCCGGGAUUGGUAUUGGGAUUAGGAUUGGGAUUGGGAUUGGGGUCAGGAUCAGGAUUGGGAUUGGAUUAGGAUUGGGAUCCUGCAUUAGGAUUGGGAUCAGGAUUUGGGAUUGGGGUCAGGAUUGGGAUUGGAUUAGGAUUGGGAUUAGGAUUGGGGUCAGGAUUAGGAUUGGGAUUAGGAUUUGGAUUAGGAUUGGGAUUAGGAUUUGGAUUGGGAUUGGAUUCGGAUUGGGAUUGGGAUUAGGAUUGGGAUUGGGAUUGGGAUUAGGAUUGGGAUUGGGAUUGGGAUUGGGAUUAGGAUUGGGAUUGGGAUUGGGAUUGGGAUUAGGAUUGGGAUUAGGAUUGGGAUUGGGAUUGGGAUUGGGAUUGGGAUUGGGAUUGGGAUUAGGAUUGGGAUUGGGAUUNGGAUUGGGAUUGGGAUUAGGAUUGGGAUUGGGAUUAGGAUUAGGAUUGGGAUUAGGAUUGGGAUUAGGAUUGGGAUUGGGAUUAGGAUUGGGAUUGGGAUUGGGAUGGGAUUGGGAUUGGGAUUGGGAUUGGGCAUUUCCCCUAAUUAACCCCCCCCUAAUUAAGCCCCUAUAACCCCCCAACCCCAUUAAACCCCCCCCCCACAUUUAGGGUGGGUUUAUGGGGUUUGGAUGGGGGGGUUUGGGGUGGGGGGGGUCCUUUUAGGGGGCACUUUUGGGGUCCCCAUUGAGACCCCCCCCCCCAAAUAAGCUCAAUAAAGGAUUAAUGGGACACGGCA
This 1774-nucleotide long non-coding RNA is filed under the name Coturnix japonica (Japanese quail). Its description in RNAcentral is "lncRNA (ENSCJPG00005001649.1)". The record is from RNAcentral. Lineage: Eukaryota; Metazoa; Chordata; Aves; Galliformes; Phasianidae.